Molecule: long non-coding RNA, 2285 nt
Organism: Homo sapiens (human)
Lineage: Eukaryota; Metazoa; Chordata; Mammalia; Primates; Hominidae
Exons: 3
Source: RefSeq, a predicted model, not a curated record
GAAAGACAUGCAUGGGCCCUGAGAGAGGAGCUGAACACAGCAAGGGGUGCUUCGGCUGGAGAGGAGGGAGAAGGGCCUGAGAACCGAGAGCCACUGCCUCCCAUCCACACCCACGUCAGGAGGAGCGGCUGGGGCCGACUGAGUCCACCACCCCCUUUACCAGAGGAGGAAACUAGGCCUACGUGAUUGCCUGGGCACACACCGAGGACGAGCAGCAGAGCUGGAACCCGGGCCUCCCUGACUUGGGGUUCAGAGAUUAUGCAUGACAAGAUAGCACUCGUGAAGGCGCCCCGACAGGUCUGGAAUGUGGGAGUGAGUGUGGUGGUGAUGAUUAUUGUGCCCCAUUGGCUGGCCAGGGGCGCAUUUUGGCAGGAUUGCCCUCUUACCCAGUGAGGGCUGGGGACCAACUCAUGUUCUUCCUGCUGGGAGAGGCCCAGGCCCCUGGGUGGGGGCCCCACAUUCAGUCCCUGCCUUCCUGAUUCAUCCCAGCUCUCUUGGAGGCCUGAGUCACUUUUUUUCCAGGUGAGAGCUGCCUGUUUGGCAAAUUCCUGGAUUUCAGGGGAAGAAAUAGGAACUCCUGCCCAGGGUUGGUCUUAUGCACAGGUAAGGCAGGCAGCAACCCACGUCUGCCCCAAAUCCCUGCCCUGGCCUGGAAUUCACUCACUUGUCUAUCUAUCCAUGGGGCCAGCCAUUUCUGAGUAAUGAUCUCCAUUCUGAUAUUCAGUAUUUUGCAGUUUGCAAAACACUUUCAAAUACGGGUAGUCCUAUUUUGUGGAUGAGAAGACUGAGGCUCAGAGAAGGGAAAGGCUGUUUCAAGAGGGCCCAGCUGGGAAACAGGGAGCCAGGGUGCAGUCCCAGGCUUGUCUGACACAGGAGUUCUUCCAUUUACAGUCACUACUGUCCCCACAUCUGGUCGCCAUUUCCAACUCUUUGCCCCAAUUCUCUGAGCUAGGGAAGGAAGCUGUGACCUUCAAGAAGUCUGAUUCCCCUUGCACUGUGGGUAACAGGAGAAGGAGGAGGCAUGGACACUGAAGAACAGUCUCGAGGACAACUGCACAGCCAGGUCUGGAGAGCGGCCGUGGGAGAAGCCUUGAGUGGGUUGAGUGCCCAGCAGCUCCGUGGAGGCUAUCACAAGAAUAUCAGAGAAGCGAGGUUCAACUUGAGAAGAGACCUGUUCCUUCUGGGAAGGAAUUAUGGAGUUACCAAAUAGCCCCACCACACCGGUCCAGGCACCCUGAGGUCACGGACAAGUUCUCUGGAAAUGGGCUGGAGUCCUCACGAAGGCUCCGUUGGGAAGAUGUGGACACAGAGAGUCCAGGCACCUCCAUGCCAGGUCAACAAGAUGCAUGGACAUGGCAUCGUUGUCCCUUUUGGAGCUGUCUCCUCUCCCCCUUGUGUGGGGCUGUGGACAGUGGGCCAGAAGCCUCUCUUAUAUCCUCCUACUCUGCUCCCUCCUGCCCAUAUCCCACUUCCUAGCCCUUGGUUUAGAUCUCUUGAUAAUGGCUCUCAAUCUCAGGUCUCCUGAUGGGGAAUAUUUUGCCUCUCUAACUAAUUGCAGGCUCCAAAAGUCAGCGUGUAGGACGUGUGACUCCCCUAAGUAAGACCUGGCUCUUCCCGGCUGCUGGAUGGUGGGAACUGCCUUCACCAAUAGCCCAGGGGUCAGACAGCAGGGGCUGUGUCUGUUCCCUCAGCCUAGGGCAGGGGCGGGGCCUUGCCCUCUGUCUCUCCCUAGCCUCAGAUCAGGAAGGAGCCCAUGGACUGUCUCAGGCUGGCCUGUUGACAGGAGAACCUGGCCAGGGCCUGAGGUGGUUUCAGCACACUCUCCCUCCCUCCAUCUGUCUGACUAAUAGUCCCAUCUGCAAGCCCCACGUGAGACACAGCAGCGUCUCUGCUGCUGCCCUUGUGAGCGAGCGGCCGUGUCUGCAGCGUAACUGCCUGAUGGUAUCUCCAAGGGUGGUGUGGGUGAGCUGUCUCUUGGGAGUGCCUGCCUGUCUGCCUCAGCCCCCAACCUGCCCAUUGCAUUAUUCAUAGAACCCUAGGACCCGCUUCCCUUCCCCCAGCACUGUGAGAGACACCUGCCUGGCUGAUACUGGGGGUGGGGGGUGUGAGAGUGUGUGUGUUUCAGGGGAGGGGGGGUCUCUGGGUACCCCUUCCUGAACUAGUCCCCAUGACUUCUUCUCUGACACAUUCCUAGGUGGAAGCCUUGGAGACGUGAUUGCUGCCAGGGUGUCUCCAGAGAUGUGAGGCCCAAUUUCCAUCUUCUGGCUCACAAGGAAUCCUAGCAA